GGAAGGAUCAUUAUCGAAUAAACUUGAACAGGUUGUUGCUGGCCCCUCGGGGUAUCGUGUGCACGCUUGUUUCAUCUUUAUUUUCUCCCCCAACUGUGCACAUUUUGUAGACCUGGAGCUUUGUGGAUUUUUGUUAAUUCGAGUUGGGACUGCUGCACUUCUUUCUGGGAAGUCGGCUUUGCCUUGCAUCUCUCAGGUCUAUGUUAUUCACAAACUUCUCUAUCAUGUUUAGAAUGUUGAAUCAGGUGCUUUACAUGUACCUAUAAAGUGAAAUAUACAACUUUCAGCAACGGAUCUCUUGGCUCUCGCAUCGAUGAAGAACGCAGCGAAAUGCGAUAAGUAAUGUGAAUUGCAGAAUUCAGUGAAUCAUCGAAUCUUUGAACGCAUCUUGCGCUCCUUGGUAUUCCGAGGAGCAUGCCUGUUUGAGUGUCAUUUAAUUUCUCAAACCACAUUUGAAUUCUUUCGGUGUGGAUUGGAUGUGGGGGGUUUUGCGGGCUUCUCAAGAAGAAGUCGGCUCCCCUGAAAUGUAUUAGUGGUAUCUGAGCUACUGCUAUUAGGUUUGAUAAAUUAUCUAUGCCUUUUGGUAUGCUGCAUAAACAGAUUGCACCGCUUCUAAAAAUGCGAGUGGUCGUUGAACCACACAAUUUUGAUGAAUUUGACCUCAAAUCAGGUAGGACUACCCGCUGAACUUAAGCAUAUCAAUAAGCGGAGGAAAAGAAACUAACAAGGAUUCCCCUAGUAACUGCGAGUGAAGCGGGAAAAGCUCAAAUUUGAAAUCUGACGGUUCUUGAACUGUCCGAGUUGUAAUCUAGAGAAGUGUUACCUGUGCUGGACCGUGUACAAGUCUCCUGGAAUGGAGCAUCAUAGAGGGUGAGAAUCCCGUCUUUGACACGGACUGCCUGUACGGUAUGGUGCGCUCUCGAAGAGUCGAGUUGUUUGGGAAUGCAGCUCAAAAUGGGU
This 960-nucleotide ribosomal RNA is filed under the name uncultured fungus. RNAcentral describes it as "eukaryotic LSU rRNA". The stretch from base 657 to 960 matches the Rfam family "Eukaryotic large subunit ribosomal RNA", at positions 1 to 297 of the family's 3401-position model. Lineage: Eukaryota; Fungi. The record is from RNAcentral.